UUACUGAAUGAACCGGGAGGGGUUGUCGCUGGCCUUGGAAACAGGGCAUGUGCACGCCUCUCUCGUCCAACCUUCACACCUCUGUGCACUUCUCAUGGGUCAGAGUUUGCGCCUUCGGGCAAAGAUUCUGGUCUGUGUGUUUUCACAUACACAUGUUUGUUAUAGAAUGUCUACUGUGCAUGAAUGCAUAUAAUACAACUUUCAGCAACGGAUCUCUUGGCUCUCGCAUCGAUGAAGAACGCAGCGAAAUGCGAUAAGUAAUGUGAAUUGCAGAAUUCAGUGAAUCAUCGAAUCUUUGAACGCACCUUGCGCUCCUUGGUAUUCCGAGGAGCAUGCCUGUUUGAGUGUCAUGGUAUUCUCAACUCUUGUUGUUUUUGCAACGGGUGUUGGACUUGGAGGUGUGCAGGCGUUGUACGUCUGCUCCUCUGAAAUGCAUUAGCUCGGACCGUUGUCGAGUGUAAUCCGGCGUGAUAAUUGUCUACGCUGCGUUGCCUCUUCAAAUUGAAGGUCUCAGCUUCCAAUCGUCUCUUUGUGGACAAUUUUGAAACAUCUGACCUCAAAUCAGGUAGGACUACCCGCUGAACUUAAGCAUAUCAAUAAGCGGA
Molecule: ribosomal RNA, 605 nt
Filed under: fungal endophyte
Lineage: Eukaryota; Fungi
Description: eukaryotic LSU rRNA
Rfam family: 5.8S ribosomal RNA (bases 197-350)
Source: RNAcentral